CAAAUAGUAAGCAUAGGUAAAUCUUGUGGUUGAUAAUUUAACUUGCUAUGCCUUGUUUUCAUCGGUUCACAAUGUUUUCCUUCUAAAACCCUCGUCACGGAAUUGCUAAAGACGAUACUUGCUGUAUAGAAAUUAAACCCCUUCAACAGGAUCAGAGAUCCUCUGCAAAUCCGAUGACACCCAAAAAACUUCUUAUUGUUGAUCACAAUUCCAAGCCCAAAACCAAACUCGGUCCACCCGCCACACCGCCGAAUUCCGCCCCAUCUUCAUCAACCACCACUCCACCGUCCGAUAAGAGGACCCGGGAUCUUCCAAAUUUAUCCGAUUGUCAUUGCUGUGGGAUCCGAAUCAAUCACAGCAACCCGAAAGAUCAGCUGCAACCAUUGGACAGCGUCUGGCGCAUUGUUCUUCUGUGUAGAAAAUGCAGCAAGAAAGUUCAAUCAGGCCAAACGUGCUCUUACUGCUUCAGAGAAACGGAGAAUUCAGGUAUUAUUGUUGAAUGUCGUGAUUGUGGUCGCCGGAUUCACCUAGAUUGUGUUAAGAAUUAUGGGGAUUGCAGGCCGUGGUGUUAUUUGGGGCUAGGUUUAGGGUUUAGGGUCUGUGUGGAUUGUUGGGUUCCGGAUUUGCUAAAGAAUUCCGUCAGGAUCCAUAGGAGGAGUGAUAAUAAGGAUGUGGUGAAAUCUUGUGCAACUGACGGGGAUUUGAAAAACUGUCGGCAGAAGGGGAAGAAGGUGGAAUGUGAGGUGGAGAAGAGGGUGAAGAUGGUAGCCGUUGAAAAGAAGGCUUCGAGGAAGUCUGUGGUGGCGAAGAAUGCAUUGGAGUUGGCAGAAACUGUUUUGGAUAUGGCAGAUAAGAAUGGGAAAAAGGGUGAUGAUAUUAGUAGCGAUGCAAUUGAGGUUGUCGAUGAUGUGGAAUUUGCAAUUCAAUUGCAUCGUGCAAUGAAUAGUUCACCAAGGAUUUUGAGGAAUAAAUGCGAUGGGAGAUCAAGUUGUUUUGAGAUUCUGAAGAGUAGGAAUUCUGAUAGUUUGUUGUCUAGAAAGUCGGGUUUAGGAAGGAAUGAAUGUGAAGGUAAGAAUCCCGACAUGUAUAUAAAUGUUAUGGAGAAUGAAAUACUUAUCGGGACUAGCGAGGACGAUUCUUGCCUUCAUGCAGAUAAAUUGAAACAGGGACUAUUAACUUACAAGCGGGACAGGAAGAGGAAAUUAUGGCAAGUAGAUGAUGGCAACGACGUGGUCUCUGAAUCUAAUUGUAGUCAGCAAGUUGAUUCAAAGGACGAGUUUCAUUUCAAUGGCUCUAACUCUGGGUGUCAGGUGAGAUUCAAUGGUGUUAUCUACAAGCGGGACAAAAAGAGGAAGUUAUGGCUUGUAGAUUAUGACAAUGCCAUGGCCUCUGAAUCUAUAUUUAAUCAGCAAGAUGAUUUAAAGUUCAGUUUACAUUCAAAUGGUGCUAAGUCUGGGUCUCCAUUGAAAAGUAAUGGUGAUAUUUACAAGAGGGAUAAAAAUAGGAAGUUAUGGCAAGUAGAAGAUAAUAGCAUCAUGGUUUCUAAAUCUAAGUUUAAACAGGAAGAUUUAGAGUGUCCUUUGAACCCCAGUGAUGCAAUAGAAAGAUUUAGGCAAGAGCCCAUAAUUUACAAGCGGACUAGGUUCAAGUUGAAGGCAUGCCAAGAAAAUGGCAAGGUACUUGUAUUUGGGGAAUGCAAUUCUGGUUUUUACAACAGAGUGGCCUUGGAACUUCAGUAUCAUCAGCAAGAUGAUUUGAAACAUGAGUUGCCUUCGGGGGACAGCAGUGAUAGUUUUGCAGUAAAAUGUGUUGAGAUAACUUUGCCAGAUGGAAGUUGUCGAGAGGAGCCUGACCGCUAUUUUUUCAAGUAUGGUUCGAGGCGAAUAGGUGCCAAAUCAGGCUCAAUUUGUGAAACCGAGCUGCAUUCUGAUGCAUCUCCUAAUGAAAAUCAGGUCUCCGUUGCUUCUUUGUCAAUAGAAAGGCUAGUUGGCUAGUGAAGUGUGAUGACAAAGUGAUUUUGUCAGAUGGAAGCUUAUACAAAGAGCCGGAUCGCUAUUUUUAAAAGUAUGGCCGGAGGGUGACAGGUUUGAAAUCUGGCUCAUAUUGUGAAACCAACCUGCAUUUUGAUGAUUCACAGAAACAAAAUCUGUCCUCUGCUCCUGGAUUGACUAUGAAUUGUUCUUCAAAAUCUAAGACGCGGUCUAAUGUUUCAUUUAAUUUCUAUCCUGUUAAUUUGCAAGCAUCUACUUCUGUAAGUGGUCAAUCUGUAGAAGAGCCCUUGAUAAAACAGGUAUAAUAGUUGUUUGUGACUCCUAAUUUUUUUUUUUUUUUUUUUUUUUACUCAUGAAAUUCCCAAAUAUCUGCUGUUUUAGUAGUGGAACGUGUUUCAUAUGUCAUACAAAGAGCUGGAUCGCUAUUUUUAAAAGUAUGGCCGAGGGUGACAGGUUAGAAUUCUGGCUCAAAUUGUGAAACCAACCUGUAUUUUGAUGCUUCGCAGAAAGAAAAUCUUUCUUCUGCUCCUGGAUUGACUGUGAAUUGUUCUUCAAAAUCUAGGACGCUGUCUAAUGUUUCAUUUAAUUUCUGUCCUGUUAAUUUGCAAGCAUCUACUUAUGUAAGUGGUCAAUCUGUAGAAGAGCCCUAGAUAAAACAGGUACAAAAGUUGUUUGUGACUCCUAAUUUUUCUUUUACUAAUGAAAUUCAAUGUUUAUAGGUGCCCCAAAUAUCUGCUGUGUUAGUAGUGGAAUGUGUUUGCAAAUGGCAUCCUCCUCCUUGAAACAAGAAUUCUUUCAAGCAAUGUGUGCAAAAAGGCUAAAUAGGAUAUUAAGAUAUAGGCUAGACAUAAGGCUCAAGGUCUUUGAGGUGCCAGUACCAACAUAAAUAGACAGAACAGUACAAUACAAAAAAUAAACCACAAUAAGAAAACUUGGCCAAUUUUAUGAAGUUUAAAACAUUAACUAAUUAUUAUAGUUACCCAAUUUAGAGUGAAUGUUCAUUGACCAAGUCGCCAGAAAGUAAAAGGAAAAACACCAGCCAGUAGGAAACAACUAAAAGAGCACAACAAAAUAAAAACUAAAAGAAGUGACAUGGUAUCCCAAAGCUGGUAUAGUAUUAGGUUUGGACGUAGAAGUAUUUUUGUUUCCUUUGACUUCAAAAGAAAAGAAAAACCUAGAGGAAAUGAAAAUAAAAAUAUGGAGACAGUAGCGAAGGAUAUAUGAGAUAACAUGUCAUCGGUCUGGUAUCAUUGGUGGCCUGCUGACAAUCAUCUGCUAUAGAAAAGCUGCAUCGUUACUUAUGGACAGGGAUCACAUUAAGUUGAAGAUGUAGGCACAGUGUCCUUUUCACUUACUCACUUCCCUAACCUCCAAUGCUUCAUUAUUAUUAUUUUUUUAAAAUUUUUUUAAAUUUUUUUUAAGGGUUUCUAUGUGUUCAAAACAACCCAAAAACCCAUAAAUGUUCUGGCCAAAAGACUAAAGCGAAAACUGAGAUCAGUAAAAAAAAGGCUGUAAUAGAGCAAGCCUGACAAGGUGCAUGCCCAAGCCACCCUGAGGCACGUGCCUCAAUUAGUCAAGGCUUAAGCCUUGACUGAUGGCACUCAAAGUGUAUGAUUUGAGGUCCCCCAAUAAGCGUGUCGCGUAGAGGCAGACCUCAAGAUGUGUACCAUGGGCAGAUUUUUUCAAGACUGCUUGCAUGAAUUGCCUUUUCCUAUAAGACUUUCUAAUGCAAUGUUUUUUAGUUAACAUCAUUAUGAAUUAGUCCAUUGGCAUGAAAUGGAGGCUUUUGAAAAAUACUUCUUUCAUAUGUAAAAUAGGAAUGUGGUUGGUUGGUUGUCUUGUCAUUUGAAGAGUGUCUACCAUUGGUCAUAGAUCAACUAUUUUAUUUAGAUAUCAUGGCUUGUAGAAUGCUAAAUAUGAGAAAUUGGCAUUAGAGUGUUUGCUGAUUCCUGAGAACCACUUCACUAGUUCUAUUUAUUGCCGUUACCAUAUCAAUUUGACAUCUGCAUCAAUUUUUCUACCUCAUUCACUUGACCUUUAAAUGGCACUGUGGUUAACAAUCCAAUCUUCAUUAUUAUGCCUAUUCACAUGAUUCCAUAGUUACUUUCUCUCCCUGUAGUUGCCUGGGACCUGGAACAAGUCAUUCCCCUUUCACAGCUGUUCCUUCUUACUAUCUAAAGCUGUGAUUCUCUUAAAAACAGUCACAGAGGCCUUAAUUGUGUUGUUAAGAAUUGAAGUCUACAAGUCUGAUUUAGUUCUGCUGUUUUCUACUUCUAUUUAAACAUGAGACUUGGCAAAUUGAUUGUGCAUUGUUGCAUAUAUUUUGUCCUUGAUUGACGUCUGUACCUAACUCGGUGUUCAUUUGUGCUGGUAUUUCAGUGCAAGUCAUCUUGCUGGCUUGUUAGUGGAUUACUACACAAGUUAUCAAUUUCUAUGCUUGCAUUUUUCUUAGUAAAUCUUGCAAUAUUUUUCUUCCAUGUUUUGCAGUCUAUUCUAAACCUUACCAGGUUGGUGGCAAGAAAUUUUGAAUUGUUAUUUAUUUCAUUAACUAUUCAGGGGAAUAUGUGAAGGUAGCGAGAGUUAAAAAACCGGCGUUCUUUCAUGUUGUAAAAUGAUAAAAUAUACAUUGUUCUCUUGUGUGUUUCGAUAGAUAUCCUAUUCUUUCUGAACAUCUAAUAUCUUGAAAUAUUUUAUCUGUACAAGUUGACAUUGCUUAUAGAAAACGAUUUCAAAAUUAUUCUUUCUGGCUCGCUGUUUCUGAUGGCUAUUCUUCAUUCUUUAAUAUGGUGUAUACUUGUUGGAUACAAAGCGUUAAGACAGUUAUUGUCACUUCUGCUCAAUUCAGAUUAAUGGAUGCUAGAGGAAAAAUGUUACAUGAGAUUUUACCUAGACAUGAUAACUUAAUUUGUGCUAUGAUAUGGAACAGGUAAAUGGUCUAACAAUAUGUUGGUUACUGGGUUAUUCCACUUAUAUAUCAAGAAAUGUACAUCACGGUGUCCACUCCCUCACAUAGAGGGGGGGCCCAUUCCAUGUGAGGAGGUGGACACCUUGAUGUACAUCUUCCUUAAUGUUUCAAAAUGGACUGGUGAAAAAAGAUUGGAUAUAUAUGGGUAGCACUGUAGAGC
Molecule: long non-coding RNA, 5116 nt
Filed under: Olea europaea subsp. europaea
Lineage: Eukaryota; Viridiplantae; Streptophyta; Magnoliopsida; Lamiales; Oleaceae
Source: RNAcentral